RNAcentral lists this long non-coding RNA (515 nucleotides) under Apteryx rowi (Okarito brown kiwi). RNAcentral describes it as "lncRNA (ENSARWG00000014519.1)". The record is from RNAcentral. Lineage: Eukaryota; Metazoa; Chordata; Aves; Apterygiformes; Apterygidae.
AUAGCUAAAGAUAAUUUGUGCUACAAUUAUCCUGCCUUCCUGCUAGGUCCUAGGCAGACGAACAAUCCCAGGAAAAAUCUGAACCCUGGGUCUUCUGUACUUCACUACACCCAGACUGAUCUUCUGCCCUGCUCCUGGAAAUCCAAGGGCAAAAAAGGGUGUCCUGCUGCUCUCCAUACAUGAGAGAAGCCCUUGUUUAUAAGGAGCUGAUUAGUCAUUUGACAAAUUUCCAGGCAGAAUGAAAAGAAGUAUGAAAUAAGGAAUGUCAACAAAUUUCACAAGGCUUCAUGUUUGCAUCACUGAUGAAACAGAAAAAGAAAAGCAUAGCAUGAUAAGGACUAAAAGUGAGCAGAAGAGGGUGUGACUGUGAAGGAGGAAGAAAAUGAAGACUCGGACAUGAAUCAUGGGUGAUGGAGCUGACUCCGUUGGAACUGACUGCUGCUGCCAUUUUUCUGACAGGAUGAAAGAAGUCCAGAGUGUUCAAAGUAUCAGAGGAGGAAAACUUGUGGACUGGA